UACGGGGGGGGCAAGCGUUGUUCGGAAUUACUGGGCGUAAAGGGCUCGUAGGUGGCCAACUAAGUCGGACGUGAAAUCCCUCGGCUUAACCGGGGAACUGCGUCCGAUACUGGUUGGCUUGAGUUUGGGAGAGGGAUGCGGAAUUCCAGGUGUAGCGGUGAAAUGCGUAGAGAUCAGGAAGAACACCGGUGGCGAAGGCGCUCUGCUAGGCCGCAACUGACACUGAGGGACGAAAGCUAGGGGAGCGAAUGGG
This 253-nucleotide ribosomal RNA is filed under the name uncultured bacterium. RNAcentral describes it as "partial 16S ribosomal RNA". It matches the Rfam family "Bacterial small subunit ribosomal RNA", at positions 524 to 776 of the family's 1533-position model. The record is from RNAcentral.